RNAcentral lists this transfer RNA (72 nucleotides) under Oryzias latipes (Japanese medaka). It matches the Rfam family "tRNA". Rfam says of the family: Transfer RNA (tRNA) molecules are approximately 80 nucleotides in length. Their secondary structure includes four short double-helical elements and three loops (D, anti-codon, and T loops). Lineage: Eukaryota; Metazoa; Chordata; Actinopteri; Beloniformes; Adrianichthyidae. The record is from Rfam by way of RNAcentral.
GCUGUGAUCGUAUAGUGGUUAGUACUCUGCGUUGUGGCCGCGGCAACCCCGGUUCGAAUCCGGGUAACAGCA